AUGGUUCAGAAUGAACGCUGGCGGCGUGCUUAAUACAUGCAAGUCGAACGCUUUGUGGUUCAACUGAUUUGAAGAGCUUGUUCAGAUAUGACGAUGGACAUUGCAAAGAGUGGCGAACGGGUGAGUAACACGUGGGAAACCUACCUCUUAGCAGGGGAUAACAUUUGGAAACAGAUGCUAAUACCGUAUAACAAUAGCAACCGCAUGGUUGCUACUUAAAAGAUGGUUCUGCUAUCACUAAGAGAUGGUCCCGCGGUGCAUUAGUUAGUUGGUGAGGUAAUGGCUCACCAAGACGAUGAUGCAUAGCCGAGUUGAGAGACUGAUCGGCCACAAUGGGACUGAGACACGGCCCAUACUCCUACGGGAGGCAGCAGUAGGGAAUCUUCCACAAUGGGCGAAAGCCUGAUGGAGCAACGCCGCGUGUGUGAUGAAGGGUUUCGGCUCGUAAAACACUGUUGUAAGAGAAGAAUGACAUUGAGAGUAACUGUUCAAUGUGUGACGGUAUCUUACCAGAAAGGAACGGCUAAAUACGUGCCAGCAGCCGCGGUAAUACGUAUGUUCCAAGCGUUAUCCGGAUUUAUUGGGCGUAAAGCGAGCGCAGACGGUUAUUUAAGUCUGAAGUGAAAGCCCUCAGCUCAACUGAGGAAUUGCUUUGGAAACUGGAUGACUUGAGU
Molecule: ribosomal RNA, 674 nt
Filed under: Weissella cibaria
Lineage: Bacteria; Bacillati; Bacillota; Bacilli; Lactobacillales; Lactobacillaceae
Description: bacterial SSU rRNA
Rfam family: Bacterial small subunit ribosomal RNA
Source: RNAcentral